Galdieria sulphuraria is the source of this 71-nucleotide transfer RNA. It matches the Rfam family "tRNA". From Rfam's summary of the family: Transfer RNA (tRNA) molecules are approximately 80 nucleotides in length. Their secondary structure includes four short double-helical elements and three loops (D, anti-codon, and T loops). Further hydrogen bonds mediate the characteristic L-shaped molecular structure. tRNAs have two regions of fundamental functional importance: the anti-codon, which is responsible for specific mRNA codon recognition, and the 3' end, to which the tRNAs corresponding amino acid is attached (by aminoacyl-tRNA synthetases). tRNAs cope with the degeneracy of the genetic code in two manners: having more than one tRNA (with a specific anti-codon) for a particular amino acid; and 'wobble' base-pairing, i.e. permitting non-standard base-pairing at the 3rd anti-codon position. Lineage: Eukaryota; Rhodophyta; Bangiophyceae; Galdieriales; Galdieriaceae. The record is from Rfam.
ACGGGUGUGGUGUAGUGGUAACAUCGUAGCUUCCCACGCUACGGCCCCGGGUUCGAUUCCCGGCACUCGUA